RNAcentral lists this ribosomal RNA (378 nucleotides) under uncultured bacterium. Its description in RNAcentral is "bacterial SSU rRNA". It matches the Rfam family "Bacterial small subunit ribosomal RNA", at positions 30 to 413 of the family's 1533-position model. The record is from RNAcentral.
AUUGAACGCUGGCGGAAUGCUUUACGCAUGCAAGUCGAACGGCAGCACGGGGCAACCUGGUGGCGAGUGGCGAACGGGUGAGUAAUACAUCGGAACGUGCCCAAUCGUGGGGGAUAACGUAGCGAAAGUUACGCUAAUACCGCAUACGAUCUACGGAUGAAAGCGGGGGAUCGCAAGACCUCGCGCGAAUGGAGCGGCCGAUGUCAGAUUAGGUAGUUGGUGGGGUAAAGGCUCACCAAGCCGACGAUCUGUAGCUGGUCUGAGAGGACAACCAGCCACACUGGGACUGAGACACGGCCCAGACUCCUACGGAGGCAGCAGUGGGAAUUUUGGACAAUGGCGCAAGCCUGAUCCAGCCAUUCCGCGUGCAGGAUGAAG